Molecule: long non-coding RNA, 245 nt
Filed under: Anser brachyrhynchus (Pink-footed goose)
Lineage: Eukaryota; Metazoa; Chordata; Aves; Anseriformes; Anatidae
Description: lncRNA (ENSABRG00000000744.1)
Source: RNAcentral
AUAACAUUAGGGAAGGAAGACAAAUCAGUUCAGUGGGUGUAGGCUGCUUAGUCCUCUUUUGAUUAAGAACUUCUCCUCAGCUGUAUGCCCCUCCUUUCUGUGCAAAGGACCAGCUCUCUCUGCUGACCCAGAGUACAGGCAGCCACUGCCACGACUACAGAGGAAGGAUGGUGGAGCAUACUUGCUAGAUGGAAGAAAGAGAUACUGCCAUUGCACAGCCGACCAAGAUCCUCUCACCUUUUAGA